Molecule: RNA transcript, 4066 nt
Organism: Malania oleifera
Lineage: Eukaryota; Viridiplantae; Streptophyta; Magnoliopsida; Santalales; Ximeniaceae
Gene name: kinesin-like protein KIN-7C, mitochondrial
Exons: 25
Source: RefSeq, a predicted model, not a curated record
UGUCGUGACUUGCGACAUCCCUUCGGAACAACACAACGACGCAUGAAGACAGCUCGACGAUGGCAGAGCUAAAAAAACAAAACAAAAUACAAAGCUUGCUUUGGAGGGAGGGAACAAUGCCCGAAGCCGGCACGUUCGCCGGCAUGUGAGUCUGUGACCUCCACCUCCACCCUCUCCGCCUUUCCUUCUGCUGUUUCUGUCGGAGAGUAUGUCCGCUUCUGGUUCAAGGUCCCAGAGGUCGUCGACCGGCGUCUCGCCGUUCCGGUCACGGAAGCCGCCGGCGUCGAAGAACGGAGGACGGCCGGCCACUCCGUCUUCGUCGUCGACUUCUAGAGCCCCCUCGAAGCUCUCUGUUUCUCCGACGACCUCGGCCAGCCCGUCGACACCGGCCGUGGACCGUCCUGAUUAUAGCACGGCUAAGGAGAAUGUGACGGUCACGGUCAGGUUUCGCCCCCUCAGCACCCGGGAGAUUAACAAAGGGAACGAGAUAGCUUGGUAUGCUGAUGGAGAUUACUCGGUUCGGAAUGAGAACAAUUCCUCCACUGCUUAUAGUUUUGAUAGAGUGUUUGGUCCAGCUUCAACAACUCGUCAUGUGUAUGAUAUUGCUGCUCAGCAUGUUGUAAGUGGUGCCAUGGAAGGAAUUAAUGGUACAGUAAUGGCAUAUGGCGUUACUAGUAGUGGGAAGACUCAUACAAUGCAUGGGGAGCAAAAGUCACCAGGAAUUAUUCCAUUGGCAGUGAAGGAUGUUUUUGGUAUUAUACAAGAGACACCAGGGCAUGAGUUCCUUCUUCGUGUUUCUUAUCUAGAAAUUUACAAUGAGGUCAUCAAUGACUUGCUAAAUCCUACAGGGCAGAACCUACGAAUACGAGAGGAUUCUCAGGGAACUUAUGUGGAGGGAAUUAAGGAAGAAGUUGUUUUGUCCCCAGCCCAUGCUCUUUCCUUGAUAGCAUCUGGUGAAGAGCAUAGGCAUGUGGGUUCUAAUAAUUUUAAUUUGCUUAGCAGCCGGAGCCACACAAUUUUCACCCUGACUAUUGAAAGCAGUCCUCGUGGGGGAAAUCAAGGCGAAGAAGAUGUGACACUGUCCCAAUUGAACUUGAUUGAUCUUGCAGGGUCUGAAAGUUCUAAAACUGAAACGUCUGGUUUGCGUAGAAAGGAGGGUUCAUAUAUAAAUAAAAGCUUGCUUACUCUUGGCACUGUGAUUUCGAAACUAACAGAUGGAAAGGCUACUCAUAUUCCUUAUCGAGAUUCAAAACUCACCCGCUUGUUGCAGUCGUCUCUUAGUGGCCAUGGGCGGGUCUCUCUUAUAUGCAAUGUGACACCGGCCUCUGGAAAUAGUGAGGAGACACACAAUACACUGAAGUUUGCACAUCGGAGUAAGCAUGUGGAAAUCAAGGCUUCUCAGAAUAAGAUUAUGGAUGAGAAAUCUCUCAUUAAAAAGUAUCAGAAAGAAAUUUCAAGUUUAAAACAGGAGCUCCAGCAAUUGAAGCGUGGCAUGAUGGAGAAUCCACAUACUAUAUCAUCUACCCAAGAAGAUAUUGUAAAUCUGAGGCUUCAGCUGGAAGCUGGUCAGGUUAAAUUACGGUCACGACUGGAAGAGGAAGAACAAGCCAAAGAGGCUUUGAUGGGAAGGAUUCAACGCUUAACUAAACUAAUUUUGGUUUCCACAAAAAAUGCAAUGCAAUCAAGUAUUUCUGAGAGGGUUGGUCAUAGACGAAGACAUUCUUUUGGAGAAGAUGAGCUAGCAUAUUUGCCAUAUAGAAAACGGGAGUACAUGGUUGAUGAUGAUACUGGAAGCUUUGAUUCUGAACUUUCUGCUGAAGGAAGGGGUGAUGUCGGUAGUUUAGAUGAGUCGGCCAAAGAUUACAAGAGGAACAGGAGAAGAGGAAUGCUUGGAUGGUUUAAGCUGCGAAAGGCUGAGAAUCAGGUUGUAAUGUCCCCAAGUGCUGAAAGUGAGACCUCUCUGAGUGGGUCUCCUGCUUCGAGCUCAAAAUCCUUGCAAAAGAGAGUCAUCUUUAAUGACAUGAAAGAUGGGCAGAGGAAAUCAGUCAGUAGGUCAAGGGAUGAUCCUUCUAUUGUUGAUUCAUUUCCUGGAAGAACCCAAGCAGGUGACCUGUUUAGUGCAACUGUUAGAGGUCACUGUCUGCCUCCGACCAAUUCCACUAUUACAGAUCAAAUGGAUCUUCUCCGCGAGCAGGUGAAAAUGUUAGCUGGGGAAGUGGCAUUGUGCACCAGUUCCCUGAGAAGACUGUCAGAGCAAGCAAGCAAAGCUCCGGAGGAUUCACAACUAAAGGAAAACAUGCUGAAGUUAAAAGAUGAAAUUAGCGAAAAGAAGCAUCAAAUACGUUUGCUGGAACAACGUAUGAUUGUCUCAGUUGAUAUGUCUGCACAUACAUCCAAUAGCAUUGAAAUGUCUCAGGCUCUAGCCAAGCUUGCUACUCAGCUGAAUGAAAAAACGUUUGAACUUGAGAUUAAGUCAGCAGACAAUAGAAUUCUUCAGGAACAACUGGAAAUGAAGAUAUCAGAAAACACCGAGAUGCAAGAAGCCAUGUUUCUGUUAAGACGGCAACUUGAUUCUUUAUUAGACAAACGUUGUGAUGAUCCUCAACAAAUUGCUGACUAUGAAGCUGCUACGUUCAGGGGUCUUUCUGGAAGGUUGUCAGGAAACAAUGAUGAGGCAAAGGAUGUGAUUAGCUUAUACGGAAAGAGUCAUACUGAUGACAAUACGCCAACAAGUGUAAUGAGCUUGAAUAGAGUAUUUUCCCAAGAAGACUCUAGGGAUUGUAAUGGUGAUGCACUUUCGAAUUCUCAAGUUCUUAUGCAGGCAGCUGAGAUAGAGAAUUUAAAGCAAGAGAAGGUGAGGAUAACUGAAGAGAGAGAUGGGCUUGAAAUUCAGUGUCAAAAACUGGCAGAAGAAGCUUCAUAUGCAAAAGAGUUGGCUGCAGCAGCCGCAGCUGAGCUGCAAAAUUUAGCUGAAGAAGUAACAAAAUUAUCUUACCAAAAUGCAAAAUUAGCUAGUGACCUGGCUGCUGCAAAUGAGGCCCUUCACAGACAUAAACACCCUCAGAGGUUUGCUUCAUUUGAUAUGAGGCAAAAUAACAGCGUUGGUGCGCAAUCUAAUGUGAGGUCCCAAAGAGCAGGGGAUGGGAUUUUUAUUGAGGAGAAUGUGCUUAAUACAAUAUACAAUAGAGAAGCUACUUUUGAAAUUGCAUUACCAGUAGAAGAUGAGCUUGGAGAAAGACUUGAUGAAGCAAAACAGCGUGAAAUAGACCUGGAGAAUGAGCUUGCAAAUAUGCAGAUAUUAGUUUCAAAGAUGAGGAAAUCUACCAUUCGUUCUGAGGACAUCUCAUCUGGCAGUACAUAUGAUACCAUACUAGCCAAAAAAAAAAAAGGAUAUCCUUCAUCCAAUGGUUUCUCUGACAGAUACGAUAAAGAAAGGAGAAACUGUUGAGAAAUGGAAAGCCUUGUUUCCAGAUUGAAGGAUGAACCUACACGUUGAGGCUGUAACCAAGAUUUGCCAUGAAAAGGUCUUGUUUUUGUAGCAUCAUGCAAAUAUAUUAGGAGUUCUAUUUAUUCGCCAGCCUCUAGACGUUUGUCAUAAUCGCAAUGAACGCGGAGAAGCAUUUACCUGAAGAGUUAGAUUUAGAAAGCCAACUUCUAAAAUUAAUAGAGGCAAUGACAAUUAAAAGCACGGCGUCACAUGAAUUUCCUUUGUAACUGAACUAAUACAUUUUCACUUUGAGUUUGAAGCGACUUUUAAAAAAUGAGAGGAUGAGUUGAAGGGAUACUAUUGCUGGUCGGCCUUUUAGACUUGGUGAGUAUUUUAGGUAAGCAACAUGGAAAAUGCUCCAUUGUCAUGGGUCAUGUCUACAUGGUAACGGAUAGUGGAGCGACCAGUUGACCCCGUGCAUCCACCACUCCCUUGCUGCCACAUUAGAUCGGGACACUGACAUUUUAGCAUUGCUCAAGUUAUUAUAUGCUAAUUUCAGUGAUUUUUAAAACUUGAAAGAUGUAAAUCUAGUGGGUUAUUAAAUACUUUUGGAUUAAUAUUAAUUGCAAAAUUUACUUU